CAAAAACAUGUCUUUUUGGUAAUAAUUUAAAGUCUAAUCUGCCCACUGAUUUAAAUUAAAGGGCUGCAGUAUAUUGACUGUACAAAGGUAGCAUAAUCAUUAGUUUUUUAAUUGAAAACUUGUAUGAAGGAUUUGAUGAAAUAUAAACUGUCUCUUAUUUAAAAUUAAAAAUUUAUUUUUUAGUUAAAAAGCUAAAAUAAUUUUAAAAGACGAGAAGACCCUAUAGAGUUUUAUAUUAAAUUAUUUUAUAAUUAUUUAUAUAAUUAAAAAUUAAAAAUGAAUUUAAUAUUUUAUUGGGGUGAUAGAAAAAUUAAAAAAACUUUUUUUAAAUUAUUAACAUAGAUAUAUGAAUAAAUGAUCCAUAAUUAAUGAUUAUAAGAAAAAAUUACCUUAGGGAUAACAGCGUAAUAUUUUUUUUUAGUUCAUAUAAAAAAAAAAGUUUGCGACCUCGAUGUUGGAUUAAGAUAAAAUUUAAAUGCAAAAGUUUAAAAGUUUUGAUCUGUUCGAUCAUUAAAAUCUUACA
RNAcentral lists this ribosomal RNA (523 nucleotides) under Melanitis leda. Its description in RNAcentral is "partial 16S ribosomal RNA". The stretch from base 396 to 523 matches the Rfam family "Archaeal large subunit ribosomal RNA", at positions 2542 to 2669 of the family's 2987-position model. The record is from RNAcentral. Lineage: Eukaryota; Metazoa; Arthropoda; Insecta; Lepidoptera; Nymphalidae.